Molecule: ribosomal RNA, 363 nt
Filed under: Hepatozoon sp. RCF-2016a
Lineage: Eukaryota; Apicomplexa; Hepatozoidae
Description: bacterial SSU rRNA
Rfam family: Eukaryotic small subunit ribosomal RNA
Source: RNAcentral
ACGGGGGAUUAGGGUUCGAUUCCGGAGAGGGAGCCUGAGAGACGGCUACCACAUCUAAGGAAGGCAGCAGGCGCGCAAAUUACCCAAUUCUAACAGCAUAAGAGAGGUAGUGACAAGAAAUAACAAUACAAGGCAGUUAAAAUGUUUUGUAAUUGGAAUGAUAGAAAUUUAAACACUUUUUAAAGUAUCAAUUGGAGGGCAAGUCUGGUGCCAGCAGCCGCGGUAAUUCCAGCUCCAAUAGCGUAUAUUAAAAUUGUUGCAGUUAAAAAGCUCGUAGUUGAAUUUCUGCUAAAAAAAGCCGGUCUGCUUUUAAUAAAAGUGGUAUCUUGGUGUGUUUUUAGCAAUAAUGUCUUUCGAAAUGUU